Molecule: long non-coding RNA, 1511 nt
Filed under: Monodelphis domestica (gray short-tailed opossum)
Lineage: Eukaryota; Metazoa; Chordata; Mammalia; Didelphimorphia; Didelphidae
Description: lncRNA (ENSMODG00000039265.1)
Source: RNAcentral
GAGAUGGGGAAGAAGGUGGUAGACCUUUGAUCCUGUCAAUGUAUGAAACUUCAGAUAAGAAAAUUUAGUUUAAGAAAGGAUGUUGCCCAUGGUCACAGAGCUUCCUGAACUCAAAAAUGAGAAUUAAACCCAAGCCUUCCUCCAAGUCCAACACACUAUCCAUUAUACUAUGCCAAGCUAUUGAUGCAGAAAGAGGUAUGUGACAUAUACACACAUGGAAACAGUUUGGUAUAGUAAAAACAGCUGGAUUUUGAGGCAGAGGACCUGAGCCUGAUUCCCAACUUUGCCAUUUGUUAUUUAUAGCAACUUGGGAAAGUUACUUUUCCUUUUUGGGUAUACAGUUUUUAAUCUUUAAAAACAAGAGGUAAGACUAGAUAGAGGUGUCAAACAUGUGAUACAAUGUGGCUACAGCACUCUCAAGUGUGACCUUAAACAGAUUAAAAUAUAAUUGGGAGAUAUUUAACAAAAUAAAUAAAAGUAGGGUGGAACAUUAAUAGUGUAAAAAAUAUGGAAAGGAACAAGCCUACUAUGUUCUGGGUACUUCACAAAAUAUUUUGAUUUGAUACUGUGAGGUAUGUUCUAUUAUUAUUAUUAUCCCAAUUUUUACAGUUAAGGAAACUAUGGUAGACAUAGGUUAAGUUAAGAGGUUUUAGGCUUAUAUGUAGUUACAUCAGAUCUUGAUAUCUUCCACACGGGUAUUCUAAUAGUCAAUGUGUCAUUUGUUGGUAAGGAUAUGUAAUGUUUAGUGGCCUCCUUUCUAUUUGAGUUUGGCACCCUGGGUCAGAUAAUCUUAAGUAUUUUCUAAUCCUGAAAUUCUAUGAUGUUUCUAGAAAGGGAAACUUUCUAGAAAUUAUCCUCAAAAAAUAGCACCUUAGGUUCACAGAGUGAAGGGAUUUGGUAACUCUCUUUCAGGUGGUAGCAUCAAGGAGAAAUUGAGGGAAAGGAACAAGCCUACUAUGUUCUGGGUACUUCACAAAAUAUUUUGAUUUGAUACUGUGAGGAUUGAAAGUGGGGUACUGGAAAGAGAGAGACAAUCUUCUGAGAGGGAAGAGACAUCACUCCUAGGAUCACAGGAUUCAGAGGUGGAAGGAUCCUUAAAGGCCUUUGAAUGCAAACUUCUCAUUUUACAGAUGAGGAAAUGGUUGGCCAGAGAAGGCAUCAAGAAAGAGUUCUCUGUUUUCCUAAGAGGCACCUUCACAUCAUCGGCCUUAAAUUCUUUUAAAAAGAUAAAGCUUUCUGCUUCACAUUUAGCAUUGACUUAAAAAUGCCCCAGGAGAGAAAUCAGAAGGACACUACUUCAUCAAGGUACUAUCUUCAAGUUGAGAAUGAAGAUCAACUUCUACCAGAAAUAUUCCAGGACUAUGUGUCUACACCAAUAGGAUUUGCCCUCAUAAAAUUGGUACUAGAUUUGUCAUUUCAGUCAUACAUCCCGAUGGUGGCAGAAAACUGAUCUUCUUUUUUGAGUUGAAUUUUAUUUUUUUUUCAAUAAACUCUCAGUUUUCUCUCUUUCA